This 700-nucleotide ribosomal RNA is filed under the name uncultured bacterium. RNAcentral's name for it is "bacterial SSU rRNA". It matches the Rfam family "Bacterial small subunit ribosomal RNA", at positions 94 to 828 of the family's 1533-position model. The record is from RNAcentral.
AGUGGCGGACGGGUGAGUAACGCGUAAGAAUCUAACUUCAGGACGGGGACAACAGUGGGAAACGACUGCUAAUACCCGAUGUGCCGCGAGGUGAAACCUAAUUGGCCUGAAGAAGAGCUUGCGUCUGAUUAGCUAGUUGGUGGGGUAAGAGCCUACCAAGGCGACGAUCAGUAGCUGGUCUGAGAGGAUGAGCAGCCACACUGGGACUGAGACACGGCCCAGACUCCUACGGGAGGCAGCAGUGGGGAAUUUUCCGCAAUGGGCGAAAGCCUGACGGAGCAACGCCGCGUGAGGGAGGAAGGUCUUUGGAUUGUAAACCUCUUUUCUCAAGGAAGAAGUUCUGACGGUACUUGAGGAAUCAGCCUCGGCUAACUCCGUGCCAGCAGCCGCGGUAAUACGGGGGAGGCAGGCGUUAUCCGGAAUUAUUGGGCGUAAAGCGUCCGCAGGUGGUCAGCCAAGUCUGCCGUCAAAUCAGGUUGCUUAACGACCUAAAGGCGGUGGAAACUGGCAGACUAGAGAGCAGUAGGGGUAGCAGGAAUUCCCAGUGUAGCGGUGAAAUGCGUAGAGAUUGGGAAGAACAUCGGUGGCGAAAGCGUGCUACUGGGCUGUAUCUGACACUCAGGGACGAAAGCUAGGGGAGCGAAAGGGAUUAGAUACCCCUGUAGUCCUAGCCGUAAGCGAUGGAUACUAGGCGUGGCUU